GUGAACGCUGGCGGCGUGCUUAACACAUGCAAGUCGAACGGAUCCUUCGGGAUUAGUGGCGGACGGGUGAGUAACACGUGGGAACGUGCCUUUUGGUUCGGAAUAGCUCCUGGAAACGGGUGGUAAUGCCGAAUGUGCCCUUCGGGGGAAAGAUUUAUCGCCAUUAGAGCGGCCCACGUCUGAUUAGCUAGUUGGUGAGGUAAAGGCUCACCAAGGCUACGAUCAGUAGCUGGUCUAAGAGGAUGACCAGCCACAUUGGGACUGAGACACGGCCCAAACUCCUACGGGAGGCAGCAGUGGGGAAUCUUGCGCAAUGGGCGAAAGCCUGACGCAGCCAUGCCGCGUGAAUGAUGAAGGUCUUAGGAUUGUAAAAUUCUUUCACCGGGGACGAUAAUGACGGUACCCGGAGAAGAAGCCCCGGCUAACUUCGU
This 431-nucleotide ribosomal RNA is filed under the name uncultured bacterium. RNAcentral describes it as "bacterial SSU rRNA". It matches the Rfam family "Bacterial small subunit ribosomal RNA", at positions 29 to 506 of the family's 1533-position model. The record is from RNAcentral.